This is a long non-coding RNA of Ipomoea triloba (trilobed morning glory), 815 nucleotides long. RefSeq lists it as uncharacterized. The record is from RefSeq and is a predicted model, not a curated record. The transcript is spliced from 2 exons. NCBI's taxonomy places the organism in Eukaryota, Viridiplantae, Streptophyta, Magnoliopsida, Solanales, Convolvulaceae.
UUCCUCCAUCCAGUAGAACAUUCAGAGAUAAAAUCUUCAUACCAAUUAUAUUUGUUCUCAAUCUUGAAGACUUGUGAAAUUUAUUCUUCUUAAUAUUUAGCCUUCAAGAUUAGUUUAGGUUGAGUGUUGAACUUAUAUUUUUUCAUCCUUUUAUUCAACCCAUGGACCCAAAAAUCUUUAAACAACCUGUCUAUUUAGAAACACAAAAAGUGUAAACUCAAAAUCGUUAUUGUAUAAGGUAUUUAUAAAAGGACUAAGAUAGUCCUUGGCGUGUAGAGACUAGAGGAAUAGUCUUUGUGUAAAGCUCAUCGACGAGGGGUGCUCGUGGGGAUUGGUUGCGGUGCCUACCAAGGCGAAAGUAGACCGAAACUAGUGGAUUGGAAAAUCUUGAGGGGAUUCUUAGCAACGUAGUCGGCGAAGAUAGCGUUGUCUUCCUGUGUGUUUGUAGCAACGGAGAUGGCGUCAAAGAGAAAAAGAGGGUUGUUGUGUGUCUGUUGGUCUUCGUAUGAGGGAGAAGCAUGUUUUAUAUUAAAAGAAGAAGAAGAAGAAAGAGCACGACAUGUGUCACGUCGCGCAUCUAACGGCGCCGUCUCUCUAAUGACGUCGUUUUGAACCUUAGUGCAUGCAAUAACAAUUACGCACCAGCUGGGUGCAAGUAGUGCACCAAACAUGUAAUCUCAACUCUUUCUAGACUUUUAUAGUUUUAUUCACAUCAAGUGGAUCUCACAAAAAAAUAAAUUAUUUGGAGUAAAGACCAUAAAAAAAAUCCCGACCCUAUUUGUGAAAAAAUCAAUCUUAAUUUUUUUGUUCUGCAA